GGUAGUAAAAGUCGUAACAAGGUUUCCGUAGGUGAACCUGCGGAAGGAUCAUUAACAAAUCCAUUGGGUCGUCGCAAGACGGCCUUAUAUUCACCCGCUAUGGGCUUCGGCCUAUUUCGGUCCUUGACCUUGGUCAGGGCGGUUGUUGACUCGAAAGAGUUAGCAACCACAAUUAACACGUUUGUUGGUUUGACAGAGUUGGUUACAAAUUAUAUAAUGACAACUUUUAACAAUGGAUCUCUUGGCUCUU
RNAcentral lists this unclassified non-coding RNA (250 nucleotides) under plant metagenome. Its description in RNAcentral is "partial contains small subunit ribosomal RNA, internal transcribed spacer 1, and 5.8S ribosomal RNA". The stretch from base 1 to 54 matches the Rfam family "Eukaryotic small subunit ribosomal RNA", at positions 1778 to 1831 of the family's 1831-position model. The record is from RNAcentral.